RNAcentral lists this ribosomal RNA (468 nucleotides) under uncultured bacterium. RNAcentral's name for it is "partial 16S ribosomal RNA". It matches the Rfam family "Bacterial small subunit ribosomal RNA", at positions 28 to 507 of the family's 1533-position model. The record is from RNAcentral.
GACGAACGCUGGCGGUGUGCUUAACACAUGCAAGUCGAACGGCAAGGCCCUGCUUUUGUGGGGUGCUCGAGUGGCGAACGGGUGAGUAACACGUGAGUAACCUGCCCUUGACUUUGGGAUAACUUCAGGAAACUGGGGCUAAUACAGGAUAGGAGCUCCUGCUGCAUGGUGGGGGUUGGAUAGUUUCGGCGGUCGGGGAUGGAUGCGCGGCUUAUCAGCUUGUUUGUGGGGUAGUGGCAUACCAAGGCUUUGACGGGUAGCCGGCCUGGGAGGGGGACCGGCCACAUUGGGACUAAGAUACGGCCCAGACUCCUACGGGAGGCAACAGUGGGAAAUAUUGCACAAUGGGCGAAAGCCUGUGGCAGCGACGCCGCGUGCGGAAUGACGGCCUUCGGGUAGUAAACCGCUGUCGCCUAUGACGAAGCGGUAGUGACGGUAAUGGGUAAAGAAGCACCGGCUAACUACGUG